UCCGGCACGAACGGGCGACGACAAAUCCGGACGGUGCAGAAUUCCAGCAGAACGCCCCAUCCCACGAGACCGGACAGUGGGCUUGGCUAUCUGAAAGACGAACGGGACGAAGCAAACUUGCAAGUCUAGAACUCGGAAAAAAUUACGAGCAAAGAAGGCGUCAAUGGGUUUGGUGUCUCAGAAACGCGUACGUUAAGGGCACGUCUCAAAGGGGAAAAGGAACGCGUUGGGCCAGUGCUGGAAGUACAUACAUCUUUUAUAUGAGCUUCGACUAUACGCAGUUGUACAGCGAUGACCCAUGCAACUCAAUAGAAACCGUAUCUGUGAUGGGCACAGGCUCGACUUCUGCCUACCGCUAACUAACUGACGAUAACAAAGACGAGAUGAUGAUAUCAAGCCUUUCAUCCCAAACUGAGAAGCCAUCCGAACC
Molecule: long non-coding RNA, 430 nt
Organism: Varroa destructor (honeybee mite)
Lineage: Eukaryota; Metazoa; Arthropoda; Arachnida; Mesostigmata; Varroidae
Source: RefSeq, a predicted model, not a curated record